CCUACGGGAGGCAGCAGUGGGGAAUUUUGGACAAUGGGCGCAAGCCUGAUCCAGCCAUGCCGCGUGAGUGAAGAAGGCCUUCGGGUUGUAAAGCUCUUUCGGUGGGGACGAAAAGGUUCGUGCUAAUACCACGGACUAAUGACGGUACCCGAAGAAGAAGCACCGGCUAACUACGUGCCAGCAGCCGCGGUAAUACGUAGGGUGCAGGCGUUAAUCGGAAUUACUGGGCGUAAAGCGUGCGCAGGCGGUUUGUUAAGACAGAUGUGAAAUCCCCGGGCUUAACCUGGGAACUGCGUUUGUAACUGGCAAGCUAGAGUGUGGCAGAGGGGGGUAGAAUUCCAGGUGUAGCAGUGAAAUGCGUAGAUAUCUGGAGGAAUACCGAUGGCGAAGGCAGCCCCCUGGGUUAACACUGACGCUCAUGCACGAAAGCGUGGGGAGCAAACGAGGAUUAGACUACCCGUGGUACGUCCACGCCCUUAAACUAUGUCAACUGGUUGUCGGGGUAGGCGACUCCUUCGUACGUAAGACUACGACGUGUAGUGACGCCGNGGAGGACGGCGACGAACGUAAACGUACGAAGUAAGUAGUAGUUAGCGUGAGAGUAGCGACGGCGACGACGAGGGAGGAGG
This 629-nucleotide ribosomal RNA is filed under the name uncultured bacterium. RNAcentral describes it as "bacterial SSU rRNA". The stretch from base 1 to 547 matches the Rfam family "Bacterial small subunit ribosomal RNA", at positions 338 to 873 of the family's 1533-position model. The record is from RNAcentral.